AACACUUUCAACUUAGAGACAUGUGUCUCCCCACAGGUGUAAAAUGUUUCCAGGAGUGAGAAGCUUCCAUACUGGUAUGACUGGUAUUCAGAAUCACUAACAGAAACACAUCUCUCUGAGGAAGGGAAUCAUCUACAUGUGAUGAGAAAAGGAACUGAUGUGCUAGCAGAAAGAGAAGGAUCUUCCCUUCCAAGGCAGCUAUCAUGGGCUCAGAACAGCCCAUAUGCACACCUGUGUGAAACACAUCAGCCAAGCUUGAAGCAACGUGCCAGAGCUUUGAGUAUAGCCCAGGGGCCCUGACGAGAUGGACUCAACCCUGCCCCAGACAUAUGGACUAAUGUGGAGACAGUUUUGCUUCCUAAAUGACAGGUGUACUUUCUGCCCUAGAGGGAGGAAGAUGGAUUCUGCUUGCAAAAUUUUACAAAUAUUCAACAUAAAAGAAUAUGAAAACAAAUCUGGAGUGAGUUGGUCAUAUCACAGUUUCGAAGCAUCUAUAGGAUGCCAGGAUUAUCCAUCUACCUGCCGGUUCUUGCAGCCUGAAACAACACCUAUCCAUCCCUAUGUGCUACAAUUACAAAGUGGCUCUGGAUUUGCUGGGAAAUGCUAGGGAACCUGGACCACAGACACUUGAGAUUGGAGUUCCAUGGGCUGGAAUGGAAAAUGGCUCAGGAUCCUACACACUUUCAGCUGUCUGUGGGGUGUGACACUCUCAAGUCCUGUACUCAGCAUCCACGGGGAACCUUCCUGCCACAUGCAGGGAGACCUGGAAGGAG
This 773-nucleotide long non-coding RNA is filed under the name Mus spicilegus (steppe mouse). RNAcentral describes it as "lncRNA (ENSMSIG00000009252.1)". Lineage: Eukaryota; Metazoa; Chordata; Mammalia; Rodentia; Muridae. The record is from RNAcentral.